This 449-nucleotide ribosomal RNA is filed under the name uncultured bacterium. RNAcentral describes it as "partial 16S ribosomal RNA". It matches the Rfam family "Bacterial small subunit ribosomal RNA", at positions 29 to 523 of the family's 1533-position model. The record is from RNAcentral.
AAUGAACGCUGGCGGCAGGCCUAACACAUGCAAGUCGAACGGAUCCUUCGGGAUUAGUGGCGGACGGGUGAGUAACGCGUGGGAACAUACCCAAAGGUACGGAAUAGCCUCGGGAAACUGGGAGUAAUACCGUAUGUGCUCGAAAGAGGAAAGAUUUAUCGCCUUUGGAUUGGCCCGCGUUGGAUUAGGUAGUUGGUGGGGUAAUGGCCUACCAAGCCGACGAGCCAUAGCUGGUUUGAGAGGAUGAUCAGCCACACUGGGACUGAGACACGGCCCAGACUCCUACGGGAAGCAGCAGUGGGGAAUCUUAGACAAUGGGGGAAACCCUGAUCUAGCCAUGCCGCGUGAUCGAUGAAGGCCUUAGGGUUGUAAAGAUCUUUCAGGUGGGAAGAUAAUGACUGUACCACCAGAAGAAGCCCCGGCUAACUCCGUGCCAGCAGCCGCGGUAA